AUGGGAUCAGUGCUCUUUGCAUAACUUGUGAGAUUUCAAAUUUUAAGUCUGCUUCGAAUAUUAUGAACUUAAUUUACAACUCGAUUGAUUGUAGUAUGAGUAUAAAAACAUUUUCUAUGGAUUAAAGACAAUCAAGAUGGUUGACUGAAAUAUCUCUUGAUUCAUAGCCAAAUUGAAAUUGCCAUUAUUUAAUGCUUUCAUGCAACUACUUCAUCGGUAAGUCGAGGGAGACUCAACCUGCUUUCUGUCAUUUUAUAUACUCAAUUUUCUCAUCCUCUACUGCAGCCCUAUUCGUUAACCGAAAAACUGUAUUAGCUAAGUGAACAAGGAUUUGAAUAGUAGAAGGAGCCAGACCCUUCUGUCUCCUAAAAGCUUUUAAAGUGCGCUC
Molecule: long non-coding RNA, 388 nt
Filed under: Drosophila guanche
Lineage: Eukaryota; Metazoa; Arthropoda; Insecta; Diptera; Drosophilidae
Source: RNAcentral